Molecule: small RNA, 3389 nt
Filed under: Pongo abelii (Sumatran orangutan)
Lineage: Eukaryota; Metazoa; Chordata; Mammalia; Primates; Hominidae
Description: retained intron
Source: RNAcentral
GGAAGGCUGAGGCAGGAGAAUCGCUUGAACCCAGGAGGCGGAGGUUGCAGUGAGUCAGGAUCGCACCACUGCACUGCAGCCUGGGCAACAAGAGCGAGACUUCAUCUCAAAAGAAAAAAAAAAAGAAAAAGCUGCCCCAUCACAUCGCAUAGAGGCUGCUAUGGGAUUAGAACGUAGCUUGAGAUCUGCAGGUCAACAGGUCUCUCUGUUUGGCAUCUCAGGUUUUCCUCACAUAAGUGAAAGAUGCCUGGUAUGACCUAGUAUCGUUCUGCCUCCUUCCUCUGCCUGCCAGGUAUACAUGGACUGGUAUGAGAAGUUCCAGGACAGGCUCAACAAGAAGGUGGUACUCCUGACAGGCGAGACCAGCACAGACCUGAAGCUGUUGGGCAAAGGGAACAUUAUCAUCAGCACCCCUGAGAAGUGGGACAUACUUUCCCGGCGAUGGAAGCAGCGCAAGAACGUGCAGAACAUCAACCUCUUCGUGGUGGAUGAGGUCCACCUUAUCGGGGGCGAGAAUGGGGUAUGGGGUGACCUUGCAGCACAGAUGAGGGACUGGGACUGACCAAGUGACCUUGGCAUUGGGCCUAAUGUUUGGGUCUGAGGACGGAGCCUCGGGGCUUCUCCCCAGAGGAUUCUGCCUGCUGCCCUAUUCCAAAGGGACAAUGUUAACUUUUUUGGUAGUACUUUAGGAAAACAGUAUUAUUUAGUGGAGGUUGGCUGCUGUGGAGGAGGUAGAACCAAAGACAUGAGAGCUCCUAGUUAGAAGGAAGAAUGAGGUCAUUUUGAGGCUGUUGGGCUAUUCACAAAGGGGAUCUCCAGGCAGAGGAUGGGAGCCUCGGCCUGCAGUGACCCUCCCUCCCUCCCUCUUUCCAGCCUGUCUUAGAAGUCAUCUGCUCCCGAAUGCGAUACAUCUCCUCCCAGAUUGAGCGGCCCAUUCGCAUUGUGGCACUCAGCUCUUCGCUCUCCAAUGCCAAGGAUGUGGCCCACUGGCUGGGCUGCAGUGCCACCUCCACCUUCAACUUCCAUCCCAAUGUGCGUCCCGUCCCCUUGGAGCUGCACAUCCAGGGCUUCAACAUCAGCCAUACACAAACCCGCCUGCUCUCCAUGGCCAAGCCUGUGUACCAUGCUAUCACCAAGCACUCGCCCAAGAAGCCUGUCAUUGUCUUUGUCCCGUCUCGCAAGCAGACCCGCCUCACUGCCAUUGACAUCCUCACCACCUGUGCGGCAGACAUCCAACGGCAGAGGUUCUUGCACUGCACCGAGAAGGAUCUGAUUCCGUACCUGGAGAAGCUAAGUGACAGCACGCUCAAGGAAACACUGCUAAAUGGGGUGGGCUACCUGCAUGAGGGGCUCAGCCCCAUGGAGCGACGGCUGGUGGAGCAGCUGUUCAGCUCAGGUAAGUCAGGGUAUCACCAAGUGGUGGUGCUAGACUUGAGGGGUGUGAGUGGCAGUGUUUUCUCUACAGCAUACUAGACAUUUUCAAAAUACUGUUUAAGACUCUUGGCUGUUAACUCAUUUGAUCCUCCCAAGAACCUCGUGAGACAGGUGAGACAAACACUAACCCUACUUGCCAGGUGAGAAAACAGGCAGACACAUCAGGUUGUGCUAUUUCAGAACCUGGUUUUCUAGAGUCCAGGACCUUUGGCCACCAGACCACUGAUUCUCCAUGGAUACCAGACUCCCCAAGUGUAUUCAUCCAUUCUUGUAUUGCUAUAAAGAAAUACCUGAUACUGGGUCAUUUAUAAAGAAAGGAGGUUUAAUUGACUCACAGUUCUGGAGCCUGUACAUGAACCAUGGUGUUAUCUGCUUCUGGGAAGGCCUCAGGGAAGGCAGAGGGGAAGCAGGCAUCUUAUAUGGCAGGAGCCAGGACUGAGAGAGUGAGUGGGGAGGUGCUACACACUUUUGAACAACCAGAUCUUGUGAGAACUCACUCAUUAGACAGUACCAAGGGUGGGUGGUGCUAAACCAUUCAUGAGAACUCUGCCCCCAUGAGCCAGUCAUCUCCCACCAGGCCCUUCCUCCAACACUGGAGACUACAGUUUGACGAGAUUUGGUGGAGACACAGAUCCAAACCAUCUCACCAAGAUAGUUAGACUUUAGAGAUUAGCACAGAGGAGAGCUCUGAUUCUGCCUUGAGCUCACUCUUGCUGGCCACUGUCCCUUGUUGCCCUGUGGCAUUUUGUGCAAAGAUUUACGUUUUAAUGCUGUUUAUUGGAGCCUCAUUGAAGAUCCUUCUGCCAGAAUCACUUCCUGUCACUCUUUGGCCCUUGAAUCUGCCUGUUUGGGGCAUGCUUAGAGUGAUCUCCGUUUUGCUGGCAUGGCUGAGCCAGCCCAUGGCUGCAUGAGUGUUAGCACUUCCUGGUCAGAGGAGCAGUCCAUCAGCAGUAGUUUUGCCUUGGUGUUCCUGGGCUUUGGGUUCUGUUCUAUGAUGACUUGUUUUCUCCUGGAUAGUCCCAGAGCAAGGCACCAGUAGCAUGGAGCUACCUCAUAGCAAUGUGUUAGCUCUCAUUCAUGUUAAACCUUGCUCCUAGCCAGCCUUGCUGUGAGUUCUGAAACAUAGCACAGGGUAAGCCACAGCCUGCCCAUGAGGCAGUGAGCCUUCUUCACCCAGAGACCCCUGCCCUCAGCCUUCCUCUCCCCUCUACUGCUCAGGGGCUAUCCAGGUGGUGGUGGCUUCUCGGAGUCUCUGCUGGGGCAUGAACGUGGCUGCCCACCUGGUAAUCAUCAUGGACACCCAGUACUACAAUGGCAAGAUCCACGCGUGAGUACAACUGGUGCUCUGUGUUAGCACAGACCUCCUUCCUAAAAUGAAUGUGAGUCUGCAGAUACACAGAAAGUAAGCUAGGAUGAAGAAAAGGUGUUAGGGAAGUCAACAGCUGAGAUGCCACCAGAGCCAAGUGUUUGAGAGUUUUGUGUCUCAAUACCUAGGCUCACAUUUGCUUUUUAGUCAUUGUGCUUCCUUAUUCAGCAGCUGGGAGAGGUAGGAAGUUAGAGCCAGGAGGAAUGUUUGACGUUAUGUCAUUAACCUCAAAUAUCUUGUAGAUUAGGAAAAGUGACUUGGUCGAGGUCAUACACCUAUAUAGUGACAAGUAAGAAGCUAGAGGAGUGCUGAGCACAGUGGCUCACGCCUGUAAUCCCGGCACUUUGGGAGGCUGAGGCGGGCGGAUCACUUGAGGUCAGGAGUUCAAGACCAGUGUGGCUAACAUGGUGAAACCCCCGUCUCUACUAAAAAUACAAAAAUUAGCUGAGUGUGGUGGCAGGCACCUGUAAUCCCAGCUACUCGGGAGGCUGAGGCAGGAGAAUCAGUUGAACCUGGGAGGCAGAGGCUACAGUGAGCUGAGAUCCUACCAUUGCACUCUAGCCUGGGCAACAGAGUGAGACUCCAACUC